GGGUUGUGAGGUUAAGCGACUAAGCGUACACGGUGGAUGCCCUGGCAGUCAGAGGCGAUGAAGGGCGUGCUAAUCUGCGAUAAGCGCCGGUAAGGUGAUAUGAACCGUUAUAACCGGCGAUACCCGAAUGGGGAAACCCAGUGUGACUCGUCACACUAUCAUUAACUGAAUCCAUAGGUUAAUGAGGCGAACCGGGGGAACUGAAACAUCUAAGUACCCCGAGGAAAAGAAAUCAACCGAGAUUCCCCCAGUAGCGGCGAGCGAACGGGGAGGAGCCCAGAGCCUGAAUCAGCAUGUGUGUUAGUGGAAGCGUCUGGAAAGGCGCGCGAUACAGGGUGACAGCCCCGUACACAAAAGCGCAUGUGCUGUGAGCUCGAUGAGUAGGGCGGGACACGUGGUAUCCUGUCUGAAUAUGGGGGGACCAUCCUCCAAGGCUAAAUACUCCUGACUGACCGAUAGUGAACCAGUACCGUGAGGGAAAGGCGAAAAGAACCCCGGCGAGGGGAGUGAAAAAGAACCUGAAACCGUGUACGUACAAGCAGUGGGAGCCCCACCACUAAGCCAGUGGUGAACUCCACAUACGCAUCCUUUGCUGAGGAUACGGUUAACGGAGCGAAAGCGACGUUCAACCGCAAAAGAAGCAGAGGGGGCUUAGUG
This 657-nucleotide ribosomal RNA is filed under the name Salmonella enterica subsp. enterica serovar Oranienburg. RNAcentral describes it as "partial 23S ribosomal RNA". It matches the Rfam family "Bacterial large subunit ribosomal RNA", at positions 1 to 673 of the family's 2925-position model. Lineage: Bacteria; Pseudomonadati; Pseudomonadota; Gammaproteobacteria; Enterobacterales; Enterobacteriaceae. The record is from RNAcentral.